This is a long non-coding RNA of Mytilus trossulus (common blue mussel), 935 nucleotides long. RefSeq lists it as uncharacterized. The transcript is spliced from 3 exons. NCBI's taxonomy places the organism in Eukaryota, Metazoa, Mollusca, Bivalvia, Mytilida, Mytilidae. The record is from RefSeq and is a predicted model, not a curated record.
CCUAUGAAAGUAGCAUAUGUACUCAAUCAAAACCAAUCAGUUACAGAGGAACUGCUGAGUGAGAUGAAAAAAGUUCGAGAUUUUUACCGAGGGACUGAUGACUGGAUAAGCUUCAAUCAUUCCUGGCAAUCAUCAAGCAAAUAUAUAGACAAACUCAAGGAAUCAUUGAGCAGAAAACUACCUGCUGAUCAAAUGGAUAGUAGAACACUGCUGGAUUUUGUAGAACACCUAGUUCUGAACAAUUAAUGGUUAACUUGGAAUAAGUUAUAAACCAAAAGAUAUUUUUCACAAAGAAAUGUACAUAAUCUUGGAAUUGGACUGUGGUGGAUUGACUACAUAUGAAAAAAGGCAUUAAAUUUAACAUGUACAAAGAAACUGUUCUAAGUGAUGAAAUUAUGAUUUUUUUUUUAAAUUUGUUGAACAAAAGGUUUGGUUCUGAUAUUUUCGUGGAUAGAGACAGAAAUCGUAUUUUCAUGAUGACUUUAUUUUCUAGUUUUAUUAUUUUACAAGUUUUAUGACUUUUUCACCAAAAUCUUACAACUGAAAUUGAUAGAAAGUUAUAAUGAAAUGUGAAGGACUUGCAUUUAUUUUUACCAUGAAGAUUUUUGAUAAAAAGUGCUGCGUGCACUUAAAGAUUUAUAGAUGGGCAUUUAAGGAAAAUUGGUUGUAAGCACAAAGCAACAAUGUAUUUUAUUGAUUGACAUGUCUCUAAGAUUUUAUUUUCUGAUUUAACUUUGUACAAAUAUCAUUAGUGGGUAUAGAAAGCUGCUUUAACUAGCCAGUGGCAAUAAUAGCAAAUGGGAAGGCAAUAAUACUAUAACUCAGUAAUAAAAUUAAGUCAGCAAUAAUUAUAGUGAUAAAAAGUAUGCUGCUCUGCUUUGUAGAUUUUUUUAGAAUGUGACAAUAAAAAUUGUUAUAAGAAAACAUGAAAUUAC